This 449-nucleotide ribosomal RNA is filed under the name uncultured bacterium. RNAcentral's name for it is "partial 16S ribosomal RNA". It matches the Rfam family "Bacterial small subunit ribosomal RNA", at positions 354 to 796 of the family's 1533-position model. The record is from RNAcentral.
GUAGGGAAUCUUCCGCAAUGGACGCAAGUCUGACGGAGCAACGCCGCGUGAGUGAUGAAGGUUUUCGGAUCGUAAAACUCUGUUGCGAGGGAAGAAACCGUGCCAACUAACUAUUGGCACCUUGACGGUACCUCGCCAGAAAGCCACGGCUAACUACGUGCCAGCAGCCGCGGUAAUACGUAGGUGGCAAGCGUUGUCCGGAAUUAUUGGGCGUAAAGCGAGCGCAGGCGGUCCCUUAAGUCUGAUGUGAAAGCCCAAGGCUCAACCGUGGAGGGUCAUUGGAAGAUGGGGGAAUUGAGUGCAGAAGAGGAAAGUGGAAUUCCAUGUGUAGCGGUGAAAUGCGUAGAGAUGUGGAGGAACACCAGUGGCGAAGGCGACUUUCUGGUCUGUAACUGACGCUGAGGCGCGAAAGCGUGGGGAGCAAACAGGAUUAGAUACCCCUGUAGUCC